Anguilla rostrata (American eel) is the source of this 896-nucleotide long non-coding RNA. RefSeq lists it as uncharacterized. NCBI's taxonomy places the organism in Eukaryota, Metazoa, Chordata, Actinopteri, Anguilliformes, Anguillidae. The transcript is spliced from 3 exons. The record is from RefSeq and is a predicted model, not a curated record.
AGCCGCUGUGUCCAGGUGCACUGACUUCCACUGUCGAGAGACAUGCGCAGUGAACGUUCGGUCAGCGCGCUUUUUUUAGUGUCUACUUACGCUAGGCUUUGCCCACCACUUGAGCACGCGCCCACGUGCCGCUGGCUAAAGUUCAUGAAGCAUUUAGAACUCUGCCCGACAUUCCGGAAGCCUCUCGUGCCCUCCGAGUGCUCUUCUGUUCCACCUCUGUCAAGGUCACGGAGGUCAUGCUGCUAGGACGAAUGAGGAUGCUGUGGAUGAAGUGACAGAGUACGGAAAAACUCUCUCAGCUGCGCAGACGACAAAUUUUGCCUUUGUGUAUCGACUUCAGCUCGGCCGUGUCCGCUGAGCAGCUAAGCCUGAAGUGGAGAGGAGGAAGUAAAAAUUUAAAAAAUAAAAUUCCCGAACAGACCGGCAAACCAAACUAACGUGAAACGGAGCGCGAGCGUAGGAACGACAAAAACAGCUUGUCCUGUGGAAAGCGCGAAAGACCUAACUGCUGUUCCUUCGGUCGCGCCAGCCGCACCGAUCUGAAUGAAGAGGUUAAAUGGAUACGCUGCUCCACAUGGCUCGGCUGUUUCAGAGGACUCUGCUGCGGCACGGAGCACAGAGACAUGCCAAAGCAGAUGGUGGUUGCGCUAGUAGGAAAGGUUUGGAAAAAAAAAAAAAAAAACAGCAUCUGCUGUUUUAUUUUCAGACAAGUUGGAUGCUAUGAGAAAGCACAGCACUGGAGUACAGUGCAGAGACAGGGUGUGCAGAGAACUACAAAAGUAAUAACUGCAUCUGUUCAACCUACAAAUUAUCAAUCCUAUUAUCUGUGUUCGUGUUCUGAAAAUGGGGGCGUAUUUGUUUGUCUUGUCUCACCGUGAUGUAAGAAAUAUACCUUU